This 63-nucleotide transfer RNA is filed under the name Kaestneriella sp. KaspPE. Its description in RNAcentral is "tRNA-Leu". Lineage: Eukaryota; Metazoa; Arthropoda; Insecta; Psocodea; Peripsocidae. The record is from RNAcentral.
GUUAUAUUGGCAGAUAAGUGCCUUGAAUUUAGAAUUCAAUUAUAUAAUUUUUUAUAUAUAACA